This 1244-nucleotide ribosomal RNA is filed under the name metagenome. RNAcentral's name for it is "bacterial LSU rRNA". It matches the Rfam family "Bacterial large subunit ribosomal RNA", at positions 1564 to 2818 of the family's 2925-position model. The record is from RNAcentral.
UGAAUACGAGACGCUAAGGCGUCGAAGUAGUGUAUGUCAUACUUCCAAGAAAAGCUUGCACUGUCAUAGAUAAAAAACGCCUGUACCAUAACCGACACAGGUGGGUAGGUAGAGUAUACUAAGGGGCGCGACAUAACUCUCUCUAAGGAACUCGGCAAAAUAACUCCGUAACUUCGGGAGAAGGAGUGCCUUAUUCGUAAGGUUGCAAUAACAAGAUCCAAGCAACUGUUUAUCAAAAACACAGGUCUCCGCUAAGUCGUAAGACGAUGUAUGGGGGCUGACGCCUGCCCAGUGCCAGAAGGUUAAAGAAGUUGGUUAGCAAUUGCGAAGCUGAUAACUGAAGCCCUGGUGAACGGCGGCCGUAACUAUAACGGUCCUAAGGUAGCGAAAUUCCUUGUCGGGUAAGUUCCGACCCGCACGAAAGGCGUAAUGAUUUGGAUACUGUCUCGGAGAGGGGCUCGGUGAAAUAGACUUGUCUGUGAAGAUGCGGACUACCUGCACCAGGACAGAAAGACCCUAUGAAGCUUUACUGUAACUUGAAAUUGAAAUUGGACUUUAUUCGCGCAGUAUAGGUGGGAGGCGUUGAUUAUAAUCUUGUGGGAUUAUUGGAGCCAUCAGUGAGAUACCACUCUUGUAAUGUUAGAUUUCUAACUUUGAAUCAUUAUCUGGUCAAAGAACAGUUUCAGGCGGGCAGUUUUACUGGGGCGGUCGCCUCCUAAACGGUAACGGAGGCGUACAAAGGUUUCCUCUGAACGGUUAGAAAUCGUAUCUAGAGUGUAAAGGCAUAAGGAAGCUUGACUGUGAGACCUACAAGUCGAGCAGGGACGAAAGUCGGUCUUAGUGAUCUGACGGUACUGAGUGGAAAGGCCGUCACUCAACGGAUAAAAGUUACUCUAGGAUAACAGGCUGAUCUCCCCCAAGAGUUCACAUCGACGGGGAGGUUUGGCACCUCGAUGUCGGCUCAUCGCAUCCUGGGGCGGUAGUACGUCCCAAGGGUUGGGCUGUUCGCCCAUGAAAGCGGUACGCGAGCUGGGUUCAGAACGUCGCGAGACAGUUCGGUCCAUAUCCGGUGUAGGCGUUAGAAUAUUGAGAGGAGCCUUCUUUAGUACGAGAGGACCGAGAAGGACAUACCUCUGGUGUACCAGUUAUCGUGCCAACGGUAAACGCUGGGUAGCUAUGUAUGGAGUGGAUAACCGCUGAAAGCAUCUAAGUGGGAAGCCCACCUCAAGAUAAGUAUUCUCAUC